UGGCAAGAUGAACCAAGCAGAAGGAAAGAAUCGAGGCAAGACUUAAAGGCAAGGAGUAUGGAAUCCCAGGGGGAUCCUGAAGGGGGAAAACGACUCGUUCCAUCCUUCCACACCUCUCUUCCUAUCUCCAUAUGGGCAAGGCUCUAUCCACACGGCAGCAGGCUGGCACAGCCUGAUGGAUUUGGAGCGAAGGCUUUCCACGGCGAGGCACGGCCUAGGUUGGUUGGCAUCGGCACGAAGAAGGCCUUUGAGAGAGGGAGCGAGAGCCCAGGUGGAAGGGCCCUUCUUGGCGGGGGAUGGAGCCCCCACCCUCGUCUGGGCCCCAGCCCCAGCCCCAGCAGCCCCGGGGACUGCUGAGCCCGAGAGAGAAGGAGAGGCUGAGAGGGGCUGUUCGAGCCUAUGUCCACACGAGGGCGCCAGAGCCCCUUCCGGUCCCAGGGGCAGCUCAGAGGCUCUAAGUGGUGGGAGGGGCAAGGCUCCAAAGGCGCAGGCUCCACGUCGGGGGCGGAUGGAGGCUUGAGCGGGACGCACCCACAGCAGGCCCCCAGAGGACGUGCGGGUGUUUCCUGGGCAGCAGGGACUCUCUCCUGCGAGACACCUCCUGUCAGCUGGAGGGCGGAGGUGUCCCUUCCGGAUUUGGAGGGAAUUCGGUCGGGUCCGAUGGGCUAGGCUAGGCCAUCUGGACGGAAUCCACGGAAUCCUUCGGCCCAUCGCUUUUCCCGAGGGGCAGCACUCUCGACCGUGACACCUUCUCUGGGGAGCGCUGUGUCGCUCCUGUGUUGGGGUGGAGUGUUCAGGACUCCUUUUGGCUGGUCGCUGAUCGAAGUGGAUCCAUUGCAGUUUCCCAACCAAGGGAUCCCAUCGGCCAUGUCUAUGCAUCCUGUUUGGCUCCCCUUCUCCUCCCUUGGGUUCCAAGAAGAGGGACUAGACCUCGUAGCGUCUGCUCCAUGGAAGGAGGGCUCUGGCACCCCCCGCAAGGGCAAGGGUUUGGAUCUCGGACCUCCCCAAUUCCAGGCAUGCCCACAGCCUCGCCCUCCCAUUUGGCAAGCACCAUCUGGAGGGCAGUGCAGGGGUUUCUUUCCUGGACGACAGUUCCUGGGUGUCCCUGGUGAGAUGGGCGAGGGAAGGGGUUUCCCAUGGGCUGUGUGUCUCCCUCCCAGACCUCUUUCCUUUCGUGUGAGCAUUUCUCUUCGCAACGCUGUGGCUGCCCAUGGCCCCUUUUGCUGCACAGGUUGAUUGCCGAGUCCGCUUCUGUUGGGGAGAAGGACCGCUGCUGGCUCAGCCAAGCCUCUGUCCAUGGACAUCGAAUGGCUUUCCAUGUGUUGCUCUUGGGAAGAGGGCUUCCUGAACCGAGUGGGGCGUUUCCGGCUGAGAAGAGACCCUUUGUCUGGGUAUAUGGCCGUGAGGGGUAGUGCUGGGUCUGGCGGUGGUUGCAGGGUUCUUUUGGGGGUGCCGUGGAUCCUGUGGCCCAUCGUGGUGGAACAAACGGUCGCACACGCCCACCCGGUGUGAGGGCACCUUCUUUUCCACAGCCUGCCCUGGGGUUGUCAUUGAAAGGCGUCCUCAGGAUGGCCAUGGGGACAGGGCUGAGGAGGGCACUCGACCUGGUUGGGGUGUGGACUUCUCUAGGCAUGCGUGAUGGUGUUCCUUUGUGUGGUGCUGGAUGCCGGCUGGCCACCUGGAUUUGGCAGGGUUUCUUCAGGCCCCCUCCCCACCUGUGGCCUGGGUGGGUGGGUUUCUGCUGUCGUUCGUGGGUUCCGUGCUGGAGCUGAUCGGUGUGGAAGCCCAGCGUGGC
Molecule: non-coding RNA, 1795 nt
Organism: Sus scrofa (pig)
Lineage: Eukaryota; Metazoa; Chordata; Mammalia; Artiodactyla; Suidae
Source: RefSeq, a predicted model, not a curated record